AACGAACGCUGGCGGCAUGCCUAACACAUGCAAGUCGAACGAGAUCUUCGGGUCUAGUGGCGCACGGGUGCGUAACGCGUGGGAAUCUGCCCUUUGGUUCGGAAUAACAGUUGGAAACGACUGCUAAUACCGGAUGAUGACGAAAGUCCAAAGAUUUAUCGCCAGAGGAUGAGCCCGCGUAGGAUUAGCUAGUUGGUGUGGUAAAGGCGCACCAAGGCGACGAUACUUAGCUGGUCUGAGAGGAUGAUCAGCCACACUGGGACUGAGACACGGCCCAGACUCCUACGGGAGGCAGCAGUGGGGAAUAUUGGACAAGGGGCGAAAGCCUGAUCCAGCAAUGCCGCGUGAGUGAUGAAGGCCUUAGAGUUGUAAAGCUCUUUUACCCGGGAUGAUAAUGACAGUACCGGGAGAAUAAGCUCCGGCUAACUCCGUGCCAGCCGCCGCGGUAA
RNAcentral lists this ribosomal RNA (449 nucleotides) under uncultured bacterium. RNAcentral describes it as "partial 16S ribosomal RNA". It matches the Rfam family "Bacterial small subunit ribosomal RNA", at positions 29 to 523 of the family's 1533-position model. The record is from RNAcentral.